UACGGAGAGUGCAAGCAUUAAUCGGAAUUAUUGGGCGUAAAGGGCGCGUAGGCGGGAGAAUAAGUCAGAUGUGAAAUUCCAAAGCUCAACUUUGGAGCUGCAUUUGAAACUAUAAAUCUAGAGGAUUGACGGGGAAAACGGAAUUCCACGUGUAGCGGUGAAAUGCGUAGAUAUGUGGAAGAACACCUGUGGCGAAAGCGGUUUUCUAGUUAACACCUGACGCUGAGGCGCGAGAGCAAGGGGAGCAAACAGG
Molecule: ribosomal RNA, 253 nt
Filed under: uncultured Simkania sp.
Lineage: Bacteria; Pseudomonadati; Chlamydiota; Chlamydiia; Parachlamydiales; Simkaniaceae
Description: partial 16S ribosomal RNA
Rfam family: Bacterial small subunit ribosomal RNA
Source: RNAcentral